This 460-nucleotide ribosomal RNA is filed under the name uncultured bacterium. RNAcentral describes it as "partial 16S ribosomal RNA". It matches the Rfam family "Bacterial small subunit ribosomal RNA", at positions 338 to 795 of the family's 1533-position model. The record is from RNAcentral.
CCUACGGGUGGCAGCAGUGAGGAAUAUUGCUCAAUGGACGAGAGUCUGAACCAGCCAAGUAGCGUGAGGGAUGACUGCUCUAUGGGUUGUAAACUUCUUUUAUAAAGGAAUAAAACAAGGCACGUGUGCCUUUUUCCAUGUACUUUAUGAAUAAGGCUCGGCUAACUCCGCGCCAGCAGCCGCGGUAAUACGGAGGAUCCGAGCGUUAUCCGGAUUUAUUGGGUUUAAAGGGAGCGUAGAUGGGUUGUUAAGUCAGUUGUGAAAGUUUGCGGCUCAACCGUAAAACUGCAAUUGAUACUGGGGGGCUUGAGUACAGGUGAGGCAGGCGGAAUUCGUGGUGUAGCGGUGAAAUGCUUAGAUAUUACGAAGAACCCCGAUGGCGAAGGCAGCUUACUAAACUGUAACUGACAUUGAUGCUCGAAAGUGUGGGGAUCAAACAGGAUUAGAUACCCCAGUAGUC